AGGUCAGCAACCAUCAGGCAAAACCAGUGAUGGACAUUCCUUUUGGGUUCAUGGAAAUGACACAGAGUCAAAUGUGUAUGAAAACUGUUGAAGAGACAGUAAUUAUGGUUCAUAGUUUCUUAUAUGGUGGUCCAGUCAGUCUAAUGGGUGACUGUAAUGUAUCACAAAUCACCUCUCCGACACGAAAAACACAGGAUACCUGUACUCUAAUAGAUCACAUGUACACUAACAUUCUAUGUAAAAGUGUGUUACCAAUGGGUAUUAGUGAUAAUCACGUGUUAUUUGUCGUUCAUAAGCUGCGACAAAACAUGAACCAGAGAUUUUCGACGAAGUUGACGACGACUGGCAAACAUUUAAGGAAUUCUUCUUUGAAGCAUCUAUCUUUAAAGGAAAAAACGUGCAAGGCCAAAAACAGAACCAUGGAUCAAUGUUGAUAUUUUGAGUGAAAUGUUUAACCGAGAUUAUCAUCAUAAAAAGGCCAGGAUAUAAAAAUUUGAAACUGACUGGCAGUUGUUUCGCGCAUCUCGUAGGAUCACGUGCAAAACGAGACUUCUUAGACAAGGUUAUCCUGGAAUGUCCGAAUAAUUCAAAGGAAAUGUGUAGGAGGAUUAAAACAUUUCUUCCCAAUCAAAAUCUUCUCUUCCUUCGAGUAUCAAAGUCAAUGACACUGACGUUUACAGAUGACUUUGAUAUUUCAAAUGGUUUCAAUAUUUUUUUAUAGUACCAUUGCCCCUAAAAUUGCAACCAUAUAUGACGACAGCCUUCUACAUGUAGAUUUAUCUAAUACUAAUAACAAGUUUGUUAUACCCCAUGUAAACAAUGAAUUAGUAUGUAAACAAAUAAAACUACUAGGUGUAAAGUUAAUGAAAUUUGCUGGUGAUACUGUAAAUAAUCCACUUGUUUGUAUUUUUAGUUUAUCUAUUAAUUCAUGUUCAUUUCCAAUAGAAUUGAAAACUGCAAAAGUUUCUCUAGUGUUCAGGUCUGGUGAUAGGUCUGAUGUCAACAAUUAUAUGCCUUUCUCUGUUUUACUAUUGUAAAUAAGAUACUGGAGUGACACGUGCAUGAUUAUCUCUAUACGUGUCUCUGUGAUUACAGUCUGUUGAUUGACAUUCAGUUUGGGUUUCGUCCAAAUCACUGUCCAAGUCAAAUGAGUCGGCACUUGUGAACUUGAAAAGUGGUUUAAGAAUAUGGACGAUGGUAAACCUACAGGUGCCAUUUUCCUUGAUCUAAGCAAGGAAUCCGACACGGUGAAUCACCAUGUGCUUCUUCAAAAACUUUAAAUGUUUCGGAAUGUCAGAUAUGUGCCUUAGAUUCUUUUCUUUAUACCUUAAAUAUAUACACACAUGUGUAAAUGUUAAAGGUAAAUUGUCCAAGUUUGUACCUGUGACAACUGCUGAUCCUCAAGGAUUCAUCCUUCGACCCUUCUUUUUUAUACUUUAUAUGAAUGACUACAGUAAACACUUCAAGGGACUAAAAUAAACGAUAUUUAAUUUAGUCUGUCAGAAGAUCUUAAGCGUACAGUUAAUCGUAAGGAUCAGAACAAACUUAGUUUGAACCUGAAUAAGACUCAAUGCAUGAUGCUUGGCUCAUGCCAAAAGCUAUCAAAA
Long non-coding RNA from Mizuhopecten yessoensis (Yesso scallop), 1607 nucleotides. RefSeq lists it as uncharacterized. The record is from RefSeq and is a predicted model, not a curated record. The transcript is spliced from 3 exons. NCBI's taxonomy places the organism in Eukaryota, Metazoa, Mollusca, Bivalvia, Pectinida, Pectinidae.